UAGUACCGGCCGUCGGGCGGGAUGUUCACAACCCUUUGUUGUCCGACUCUGUUGCCUCCGGGGCGACCCUGCCUCCGGGCGGGGGCCCCGGGUGGACAUUUCAAACUCUUGCGUAACUUUGCAGUCUGAGUAAAUUUAAUUAAUAAAUUAAAACUUUCAACAACGGAUCUCUUGGUUCUGGCAUCGAUGAAGAACGCAGCGAAAUGCGAUAAGUAAUGUGAAUUGCAGAAUUCAGUGAAUCAUCGAAUCUUUGAACGCACAUUGCGCCCCCUGGUAUUCCGGGGGGCAUGCCUGUUCGAGCGUCAUUUCACCACUCAAGCCUCGCUUGGUAUUGGGCGACGCGGUCCGCCGCGCGCCUCAAAUCGACCGGCUGGGUCUUUCGUCCCCUCAGCGUUGUGGAAACUAUUCGCUAAAGGGUGCCGCGGGAGGCCACGCCGUAAAACAACCCCAUUUCUAAGG
RNAcentral lists this small RNA (459 nucleotides) under Cladosporium sp. 932 FrB. RNAcentral's name for it is "eukaryotic LSU rRNA". The stretch from base 152 to 305 matches the Rfam family "5.8S ribosomal RNA". The record is from RNAcentral. Lineage: Eukaryota; Fungi; Ascomycota; Dothideomycetes; Cladosporiales; Cladosporiaceae.